GCUCUAAUGGUUCAAUGGAAGAAUUGAAAGUUCGGAUCUUUUAGACCCAGGUUCGAUUCCUGGUUAGAGCU
The sequence is a transfer RNA, 71 nucleotides long. It matches the Rfam family "tRNA". From Rfam's summary of the family: Transfer RNA (tRNA) molecules are approximately 80 nucleotides in length. Their secondary structure includes four short double-helical elements and three loops (D, anti-codon, and T loops). The record is from Rfam.